Molecule: ribosomal RNA, 218 nt
Filed under: uncultured bacterium
Lineage: Bacteria
Description: partial 16S ribosomal RNA
Rfam family: Bacterial small subunit ribosomal RNA
Source: RNAcentral
UACGUAGGGUCCGAGCGUUGUCCGGAAUUACUGGGCGUAAAGAGCUCGUAGGUGGUUUGUCGCGUUGUUCGUGAAAACUCACAGCUUAACUGUGGGCGUGCGGGCGAUACGGGCAGACUAGAGUACUGCAGGGGAGACUGGAAUUCCUGGUGUAGCGGUGGAAUGCGCAGAUAUCAGGAGGAACACCGGUGGCGAAGGCGGGUCUCUGGGCAGUAACU